CCAUUGCCGGAAGAAUUUGAGAUGUCAGACUAAGUGUGUACCUACGUGUGUCUCAAGCUAAAGUGUAAGGCAUGGUGCCGAGGGCUGCAUGGUCGCGGGGGACGUUAAACAGCGCGGUGUAAACGAUCCGGGAUAUUUGCCGACCCCCCGAAGUACGGAGACUUAUCUGGUGGUGGGUAUUGGAGGCUCUGCCCAGGUGGACUUCUUUUUCCUAUCAUUCUCGUGGGAACAAUGGAGGACAAAAAUAUUAAAAACACAUUUAGUGAUAGAGAAAUUACAGAGAUUGUCGAAGUAGAAGAAGUAGGAUGGAGAGUGAGACAUAGCUCUGUCAAUUUCGGGCUCCAGAAGGGUUAAAAGAGGCCAUAAAGAAAAUAUGGAUAAAUUAGAGGAUGUUGAUGUCUCGAAAUGAAAUUUAAUUUAAAAAAGAAAAUGGAGCAAUUCUUGUUUAAUGAAGCAAAUAAAAUCAGAAAGACGGCAAUAAAAUUUAUUAUGGAUUGGAACGUCAACCAUCUAAACAGGUAAUUCUCCUUCUGAAACCAGAUAAGAAAACGGACAAUAGAGAUAAUGACGAACUUAAAUCUAAUUUUUGCGAAUUAUUAAAAACGGAAAAGAAUAAAAUAAAAAUUAAAACCGUUAGGAAAAUGAGGAAUAAAGGUUUAAUAGCAGAAUUUGCCGACGAAGAAGACUUAAGAAUAAUACGUAAUUCUAAUCUAGUUAAAAUUGGCUUAAGAGCGGAGAUGCCAAAGAAAUCGGGUUCAAUAGUAAUCAUGUAUGACGUGGAUAAGUCACUCUCAAAA
Molecule: long non-coding RNA, 797 nt
Organism: Pogonomyrmex barbatus (red harvester ant)
Lineage: Eukaryota; Metazoa; Arthropoda; Insecta; Hymenoptera; Formicidae
Source: RefSeq, a predicted model, not a curated record